RNAcentral lists this transfer RNA (85 nucleotides) under Ralstonia solanacearum. Its description in RNAcentral is "tRNA-Pro". Lineage: Bacteria; Pseudomonadati; Pseudomonadota; Betaproteobacteria; Burkholderiales; Burkholderiaceae. The record is from RNAcentral.
GGGCGUCAACGGGGCCGGGGCAGGAGCCUGUGCGGCUUCGGGCGCGGCGGCGGGCGGCGCCGGUUCGGCAGCCGGCUGGGGCUCU